CAAGUGGCUUGCCUGUUGCUUCCUCGAAUUCUAAGAUUACUAACCGGCCCUCCAUAGGCUUCUUUGGGCCUCGUACUCUCCGGCUGCUCCCCGUGGUUGUCAUCGAGCCAGAGGGCUAUGUAGAAAGAAAAAAGACAAUUUAAUACAAGAUAUUAUUUCGAAUUAUAUCUGUAAAAACAAAGGAGACUGCCAUAUUACAGACCUGCUGGCCAGCAUUGUCUUGCUCAUUCGGGUCGACCAAAUACUGAGAGCAGUCAUCGAUUCCCUCAGGGUUUUCAUCGCCUUCGCGAUCAUCGUGAUAAACUUCUUCAGUGGGACCGCAGAUCAGGUUCAUCAUUUCCUCUUCGUGUUCUCUCGGAUCGGCCAUUUCUGCAGAAAUAUGUGACACAUGACUACUAGCACUACUGUGUAUACCUAACAAGGAAACAAUAUAUGAAACUAGGGUUUAGGGUUUAGGGCUUAGGGCUUAGAUUUAGGGUUUAGAGUAUAUCAUUUGCUAACAAUUAAAUAUAUCAUAAUUGUACCAUUAACUUAUACCACUAAUUGUACCACUAAUUAUAGCACUAAUUGUACCACUAAUAGUAAGUGAACAUUACUAAAUACACCAUAGAACAUCACUAAAUAAAUUAUAGAACAUCACAUCGCAUAUAUAUUGUGUGAACAUCACUAAAUACAUCACAGAACACUAUAUGUAUACUAUGUGAACAUCGCUAAAAUAUGUUAUAGAACAUCAAAUAUAUAUUACGUGAAAAAAACUAAAUACACCAUAGAACAUCACUAAUUACAUUAAAGAACAUUGUAUAUAUAUUACGUGAAAAUAAAUAAGAAAUUGGUACUAUAAUAUACAUGAAAAUAAAUAAAUAUAUAUGAAUUUGAGCAGAGGCAAUAUUCUAGAUUCAUAAGAAAUUGGUACUAUGAUAUAUAUGAAAAUAAAUAAAUAUAUAAUGUAAUACAAAUAAUAACUACAGCAAAGCAUAAGAAAAAAAUAAAAACAUAUAACAAAGAAAAACAUGUAACAAAGAAAAUAAAUAAAUUGGCGAUGAGCCCUCAACCAGCGGAGCCAGGAAUUUUAGGGAGUCUGGGUGUGACACAACUCCAUACUAAUACUAGUUAAGAUUAAUUUUACUAUAGAAACUACAUAAUUUCUAUGUUCAUUAAUUAGGAUAUCAACUAAGUAAAAAGAUGACAUGAUACUGCAAUUGAAAGAAAGAAUGAAAUGGUUUCUUACUAGAC
This 1233-nucleotide long non-coding RNA is filed under the name Sorghum bicolor (sorghum). Its description in RNAcentral is "long non-coding RNA (SBIC_LNC007793)". Lineage: Eukaryota; Viridiplantae; Streptophyta; Magnoliopsida; Poales; Poaceae. The record is from RNAcentral.